AAGACCUUGCGCUUUUGGAGCGGCCGAUGCCUGAUUAGCUAGUUGGUGGGGUAAUGGCCUACCAAAGCUUCGAUCAGUAGCUGGUCUGAGAGGACGGCCAGCCACACUGGGACUGAGACACGGCCCAGACUCCUACGGGAGGCAGCAGUGGGGAAUUUUGGACAAUGGGCGCAAGCCUGAUCCAGCCAUGCCGCGUGAGUGAAGAAGGCCUUCGGGUUGUAAAGCUCUUUCAGCCGGGAAGAAAAGGUUGCGAUUAAUAAUCGCAAUUUAUGACGGUACCGGAAGAAGGAGCACCGGCUAACUACGUGCCAGCAGCCGCGGUAAUACGUAGGGUGCGAGCGUUAAUCGGAAUUACUGGGCGUAAAGGGUGCGCAGGCGGUUUUGUAAGUCAGAUGUGAAAUCCCCGGGCUUAACCUGGGAACU
This 423-nucleotide ribosomal RNA is filed under the name uncultured bacterium. RNAcentral's name for it is "bacterial SSU rRNA". It matches the Rfam family "Bacterial small subunit ribosomal RNA", at positions 207 to 622 of the family's 1533-position model. The record is from RNAcentral.